RNAcentral lists this ribosomal RNA (253 nucleotides) under uncultured bacterium. RNAcentral describes it as "partial 16S ribosomal RNA". It matches the Rfam family "Bacterial small subunit ribosomal RNA", at positions 524 to 776 of the family's 1533-position model. The record is from RNAcentral.
UACGUAGGGUGCAAGCGUUGUCCGGAAUUAUUGGGCGUAAAGAGCUCGUAGGCGGUUUGUCGCGUCUGCUGUGAAAACUCGGGGCUUAACUCCGGGCCUGCAGUGGGUACGGGCAGACUAGAGUGCAGAAGGGGCAACUGGAAUUCUCGGUGUAGCGGUGAAAUGCGUAGAUAUCGAGAGGAACACCUGCGGCGAAGGCGGGUUGCUGGGCUGACACUGACGCUGAUGCGCGAAAGCCAGGGGAGCGAACGGG